AUGUCUUUAUGAAAAUAAUUUUAAGUCAGAUYUGCUCCAUGAAUUUAAUUUAAAUAGCUGCAGUAAUUUGACUGUACAAAGGUAGCAUAAUCAAUAGUUUUUUAAUUGAAAGCUGGAAUGAAAGAUUUAAUAAAGUAUAAACUGUUUCAAAUUUAAUAAAAUUAGAAUUUUUUUUUUAGUAAAAAAACUAAAUUAAAUUUAAAAGACGAGAAGACCCUAUAGAUUUUUAUAUUUAUUUUUUAACAAUAUUUAAAUUAAUAAAUAAAUUUUAAAAAAUAAGUUAUUUGAUUGGGGAAAUUUUUAAAUUUAUUAAAUUUUAAAUUUUUUUUUACAAUAAUUAUUGUUUAAUAGAUUUUAAUUUUUUGAAUUAGAAGAAUAAAAUACCUUAGGGAUAACAGCGUAAUUUUUUUGGAGAGAUCUUAUUAAUAAAAAAGUUUGCGACCUCGAUGUUGAAUUAAGAUAAAAUUUUAAUGCAGAAGUUAAAAAUUUUUGGUCUGUUCGACCAUUAAAAUCUUAC
This 517-nucleotide ribosomal RNA is filed under the name Friona sp. 1 BFS-2018. RNAcentral's name for it is "partial 16S large subunit ribosomal RNA". The stretch from base 391 to 517 matches the Rfam family "Archaeal large subunit ribosomal RNA", at positions 2544 to 2670 of the family's 2987-position model. The record is from RNAcentral. Lineage: Eukaryota; Metazoa; Arthropoda; Insecta; Hymenoptera; Ichneumonidae.